Long non-coding RNA from Juglans microcarpa x Juglans regia, 228 nucleotides. RefSeq lists it as uncharacterized. Lineage: Eukaryota; Viridiplantae; Streptophyta; Magnoliopsida; Fagales; Juglandaceae. The record is from RefSeq and is a predicted model, not a curated record. The transcript is spliced from 2 exons.
GGCAAAAAGGAUGCGAGUGUUGCAUUCAAGUGGGGUAAAAAAGUUUGACCAUUCCCAUCUUCAGUCUGCAAGAAAUGAGGAGCAUCAACAUCCAAGGAGCCUUGAUUGUAUCAAUUUUGGCAUCUACAAAGUAUAUUGGACAUGAAAGUUGAUGCACUUGCUGCUUGACCUAUGGAUAGUUUGCAGGUGAGUUAUUUGAAUACUUGGGCACAAUCAUAUGAUUUUAAA